ACAUGCCUACAACAUAGAAUUAAUGUACUAGAUCCCAUUAGAACUACACAGUUAAGUGUGCUCAGGCUAGAGUAGUACUAAGAUGGGUGACCCCACGGGAAGCCAUAGCGUUUUACAUGCC
This is a non-coding RNA of Picea glauca (white spruce), 121 nucleotides long. The record is from Rfam. Lineage: Eukaryota; Viridiplantae; Streptophyta; Pinopsida; Pinales; Pinaceae.